RNAcentral lists this ribosomal RNA (484 nucleotides) under uncultured bacterium. RNAcentral describes it as "partial 16S ribosomal RNA". It matches the Rfam family "Bacterial small subunit ribosomal RNA", at positions 30 to 507 of the family's 1533-position model. The record is from RNAcentral.
AUUGAACGCUGGCGGCAGGCCUAACACAUGCAAGUCGAGCGGAUGAAGGGAGCUUGCUCCUGGAUUCAGCGGCGGACGGGUGAGUAAUGCCUAGGAAUCUGCCUGGUAGUGGGGGAUAACGUCCGGAAACGGGCGCUAAUACCGCAUACGUCCUGAUGGAGAAAGUGGGGGAUCUUCGGACCUCACGCUAUCAGAUGAGCCUAGGUCGGAUUAGCUAGUUGGUGGGGUAAAGGCCUACCAAGGCGACGAUCCGUAACUGGUCUGAGAGGAUGAUCAGUCACACUGGAACGGAGACACGGUCCAGACUCCUACGGGAGGCAGCAGUGGGGAAUAUUGGACAACAGGGGAAAGCCUGAUCCAGCCAUGCCGCGUGUGUGGAGAAGGUCUUCGGAUUGUAAAGAACUUUAAGUGGGGAGGAAGGGCAGUAAGUUAAUACCUUGCUGUUUUGACGUUACCAACAGAAUAAGCACCGGCUAACUACGUG